UACGGGGGGAGCAAGCGUUUGUUCGGAUUUACUGGGCGUAAAGGGCGCGUAGGCGGUCGUGACAAGUCACUUGUGAAAUCUCCGGGCUUAACUCGGAACGGUCAAGUGAUACUGUCGUGCUAGAGUACAGAAGGGGCAACUGGAAUUCUCGGUGUAGCGGUGAAAUGCGUAGAUAUCGAGAGGAACACCUGCGGCGAAGGCGGGUUGCUGGGCUGAUACUGACGCUGAGGCGCGAAGCUAGGGAGCGAACGGG
RNAcentral lists this ribosomal RNA (253 nucleotides) under uncultured bacterium. Its description in RNAcentral is "partial 16S ribosomal RNA". It matches the Rfam family "Bacterial small subunit ribosomal RNA", at positions 524 to 776 of the family's 1533-position model. The record is from RNAcentral.